Molecule: ribosomal RNA, 841 nt
Filed under: uncultured bacterium
Lineage: Bacteria
Description: bacterial SSU rRNA
Rfam family: Bacterial small subunit ribosomal RNA
Source: RNAcentral
UCAUGCAGUCGACGAGAAGUCAUCUUCGGGUGACGAGUACAGUGGCGAACGGGUGAGUAACACGUGGGCAAUCUGCCCCUAGGUUGGGGAUAACACUUCCAACGAAGUGCUAAUACCGAAUGAUAAGGCGAGUUGAUGACUCGUUUUUAAAGGUGGCCUCUACUUGUAAGCUGCCGCCUAGGGAUGGGCCCGCGUCGUAUUAGCUUGUUGGUAGGGUAAUGGCCUACCAAGGCGACGAUGCGUAGCCGGCCUGAGAGGGUGAACGGCCACACUGGCACUGAGAUAAGGGCCAGUCUCCUACGGGAGCCAGCAGUCUAGAAAUUUGCACAAUCGCCGAAAGGCGGAUGCAGCGACACCACGUGGAGGAUGAAGCCCCUCGGGGUGUAAACUCCUGUCAGAAGGGAAGAAGGCGCGGGCGUUAAUACCGCUCGUUGCUUGACGGUACCUUCAGAGGAAGCUCCGGCUAACUACGUGCCAGCAGCCGCGGUAAUACGUAGGGAGCGAGCGUUGUUCGGAUUUACUGGGCGUAAAGGGCACGUAGGCGGGUAUGCAAGUCGGUUGUGAAAUCCUCUGGCUCAACCAGAGAACUGCAGCCGAAACUGCACACCUUGAGUCCAGCAGAGGGAAUCGGAAUCCCAGGUGUAGCGGUGGAAUGCGUAGAUAUCUGGGAGAACAUCAGUGGCGAAGGCGGAUUCCUGGGCUGGUACUGACGCUGAGUGCGAAAGCUAAGGAGCAAACAGAUUAGAUACCCUGGUAGUCUUAGCCGUAACGAUGGGUACUAGUGUGGGGGACAUUGACCCCUCAGUGCCGUAGCUAACGCAUUAAGUACCCGCCUGGGAGU